GAUCCCCUCCUUUCUAAGGAUGUUCCCUCAGUACGCCCUUGAUCUUCGGAUCUCGGUACGACUAUCGGAACUCUUAGAUACAAGCUCACAGUCAGUGAGCAUUAUGCGGGACGCCGCCGUCUUCGUUUCUCUUUCUUCAUGGACGAGCCCAGGCCACUGGGUCUGGUUGCUCCGUUCGCGGAUCGACCGACCCGACUGUAGGCUUGGGGCCUGUAGCUCAGGUGGUUAGAGCGCACCCCUGAUAAGGGUGAGGUCGGACGUUCGAGUCGUCCCAGGCCCACCACUUAACCGAGGCGACUCUGAUCGCUACGCACCUUCCGGGGCCAUAGCUCAGUUGGGAGAGCGCGUGCUUUGCAAGCAUGAGGUCGUCGGUUCGAUCCCGUCUGGCUCCACCAUCACCCAGGUGAUGCGUGUAGAGCUCGGUGAUCUCUCGUCCAUGAGAACCUGAAUUCGCACAUUCCGCAGGAUGAUCCGGGAAUGAGGCGUGUUGUCUGACAUCGUAAAGAAGCAUUCAUUCGAUCAGUCGCAAGACGGAUCGGAACAUGGCGCCUUCGGGCAUCGUGGAUCCGGUUGUCGGGGCCUGACCGCACCGUCGUCGAAUGACAUGCGAAGCAAGCUGGUCUUUAGAAUAGCUUCGAUGCCGUGAGAUGGGUCUCUCAAAACCAUCUCGCCCCCGUGGAGCGCACAAGAGGUUGCACGCCUCUCGUGAGCACAUUCCAUGAAAUUCCGAGUGGGGUGGGCAUCGAAGAUGAGAACGAUCAAGUGUCUUAAGGGCAUUCGGUGGAUGCCUUGGCGCUGAGAGGCGAUGAAGGACGUGGUACGCUGCGAUAAGUCACGGGGAGCUGCGAACAAGCUUUGAUCCGUGAAUUUCCGAAUGG
RNAcentral lists this unclassified non-coding RNA (878 nucleotides) under Mesorhizobium sp. CIRADAc11. Its description in RNAcentral is "16S-23S intergenic spacer". The stretch from base 757 to 878 matches the Rfam family "Bacterial large subunit ribosomal RNA", at positions 1 to 121 of the family's 2925-position model. The record is from RNAcentral. Lineage: Bacteria; Pseudomonadati; Pseudomonadota; Alphaproteobacteria; Hyphomicrobiales; Phyllobacteriaceae.